This 365-nucleotide ribosomal RNA is filed under the name Pediococcus pentosaceus. RNAcentral describes it as "bacterial SSU rRNA". It matches the Rfam family "Bacterial small subunit ribosomal RNA", at positions 28 to 356 of the family's 1533-position model. The record is from RNAcentral. Lineage: Bacteria; Bacillati; Bacillota; Bacilli; Lactobacillales; Lactobacillaceae.
GGGUAACGCUGGCGGCGUGCCUAAUACAUGCAGUCGAACGAACUUCCGUUAAUUGAUUAUGACGUACUUGUACUGAUUGAGAUUUUAACACGAAGUGAGUGGCGAACGGGUGAGUAACACGUGGGUAACCUGCCCAGAAGUAGGGGAUAACACCUGGAAACAGAUGCUAAUACCGUAUAACAGAGAAAACCGCAUGGUUUUCUUUUAAAAGAUGGCUCUGCUAUCACUUCUGGAUGGACCCGCGGCGUAUUAGCUAGUUGGUGAGGUAAAGGCUCACCAAGGCAGUGAUACGUAGCCGACCUGAGAGGGUAAUCGGCCACAUUGGGACUGAGACACGGCCCAAACUCCUACGGGGGGCAGCAGAA